UCAUUGGGUUUAAAGGGUCCGUAGGUGGAUAAUUAAGUCAGAGGUGAAAUCUUGCAGCUCAACUGUAAAAUUGCCUUUGAUACUGGUUAUCUUGAGUUAUUAUGAAGUAGUUAGAAUAUGUAGUGUAGCGGUGAAAUGCAUAGAUAUUACAUAGAAUACCAAUUGCGAAGGCAGAUUACUAAUAAUCAACUGACACUGAUGGACGAAAGCGUGGGUAGCGAACAGGAUUAGAUACCCUGGUAGUCCACGCCGUAAACGAUGGUUACUAGCUGUUUGGACCUUGUGUCUGAGUGGCUAAGCGAAAGUGAUAAGUAACCCACCUGGGGAGUACGUUCGCAAGAAUGAAACUCAAAGGAAUUGACGGGGGCCCGCACAAGCGGUGGAGCAUGUGGUUUAAUUCGAUGCAACGCGAAGAACCUUACCUACUCUUGACAUACUAGAAACUUUUCAGAGAUGAAUUGGUGCCUUCGGGAAUCUAGAUACAGGUGCUGCAUGGCU
RNAcentral lists this ribosomal RNA (498 nucleotides) under uncultured Flavobacteriaceae bacterium. Its description in RNAcentral is "bacterial SSU rRNA". It matches the Rfam family "Bacterial small subunit ribosomal RNA", at positions 551 to 1050 of the family's 1533-position model. The record is from RNAcentral. Lineage: Bacteria; Pseudomonadati; Bacteroidota; Flavobacteriia; Flavobacteriales; Flavobacteriaceae.